RNAcentral lists this ribosomal RNA (170 nucleotides) under uncultured bacterium. RNAcentral describes it as "partial 16S ribosomal RNA". It matches the Rfam family "Bacterial small subunit ribosomal RNA", at positions 338 to 525 of the family's 1533-position model. The record is from RNAcentral.
CCUACGGGAGGCAGCAGUGGGGAAUAUUGGACAAUGGGGGAAACCCUGAUCCAGCCAUGCCGCGUGAGUGAAGAAGGCCUUAGGGUUGUAAAGCUCUUUCAGCUGGGAAGAUAAUGACGGUACCAGCAGAAGAAGCCCCGGCUAACUCCGUGCCAGCAGCCGCGGUAAUA